UACGAAGGGUCCAAGCGUUAUCCGGAUUUAUUGGGUUUAAAGGGUGCGUAGGCGGCUUAUUAAGUCAGUGGUGAAAGACUUCAGCUUAACUGAAGAACUGCCAUUGAUACUGAUGAGCUUGAGUACAGUUGAGGUGGGCGGAAUGUGUCAUGUAGCGGUGAAAUGCUUAGAUAUGACACAGAACACCGAUUGCGAAGGCAGCUCGCUAAACUGUAACUGACGCUGAGGCACGAAAGCGUGGGGAGCGAACAGG
Molecule: ribosomal RNA, 253 nt
Filed under: uncultured bacterium
Lineage: Bacteria
Description: partial 16S ribosomal RNA
Rfam family: Bacterial small subunit ribosomal RNA
Source: RNAcentral